CUUAGAGUUUGAUCCUGGCUCAAGAUGAACGCUGGCGGCGUGCCUAACACAUGCAAGUCGAACGGAGUUCUUAAGGAAUGCGACUUCGGUCAAAUGACUUUUGAACUUAGUGGCGGACGGGGUGAGUAACGCGUGAGCAACCUGCCUUUCAGAGGGGGAUAACAUUUGGAAACAGAUGCUAAUACCGCAUAAGAUUACAGUACCGCAUGAUACAGUGAUCAAAGGAGCAAUCCGCUGAAAGAUGGGCUCGCGUCCGAUUAGAUAGUUGGUGAGGUAACGGCUCACCAAGUCGACGAUCGGUAGCCGGACUGAGAGGUUGAACGGCCACAUUGGGACUGAGACACGGCCCAGACUCCUACGGGAGGCAGCAGUGGGGAAUAUUGCACAAUGGGCGAAAGCCUGAUGCAGCAACGCCGCGUGAGGGAAGACGGUUUUCGGAUUGUAAACCUCUGUUUUCGGUGACGAACAAAUGACGGUAACCGAGUAGGAAGCCACGGCUAACUACGUGCCAGCAGCCGCGGUAAUACGUAGGUGGCAAGCGUUAUCCGGAAUUACUGGGUGUAAAGGGAGCGCAGGCGGGAUAGCAAGUCAGCUGUGAAAACUAUGGGCUCAACCCAUAAAUUGCAGUUGAAACUGUUAUUCUUGAGUGGAGUAGAGGCAAGCGGAAUUCCGAGUGUAGCGGUGAAAUGCGUAGAUAUUCGGAGGAACACCAGUGGCGAAGGCGGCUUGCUGGGCUCUAACUGACGCUGAGGCUCGAAAGUGUGGGGAGCAAACAGGAUUAGAUACCCUGGUAGUCCACACUGUAAACG
RNAcentral lists this ribosomal RNA (809 nucleotides) under uncultured bacterium. Its description in RNAcentral is "bacterial SSU rRNA". It matches the Rfam family "Bacterial small subunit ribosomal RNA", at positions 1 to 808 of the family's 1533-position model. The record is from RNAcentral.